Non-coding RNA from Paramuricea clavata, 1088 nucleotides. The record is from the annotation of a GenBank genome assembly. Lineage: Eukaryota; Metazoa; Cnidaria; Anthozoa; Malacalcyonacea; Plexauridae.
AGCUUCCUUGCUAUUUAGAAAUUGUUGCCCAUUAGUUGAAGAAGAAUUGCUGUUGUAUGCGCUUGUUUGCACUUCCUUUUCUGAAAAAGUCUACAAUAUUAAGGCUAAAUAGCAGAAAAAUAUGACCCAAUAAUCCAUGCAAUCAAAAAUAUCUAUCAAAUUAACUUCAAAAAUCAUGAUUUGGGAAUUAUAUCUAUUCAGAUAAUCAACCCAUAAUUUAGUGACAGAUCUUGGGAUUGGUGCACUACAAAACUAUAUUGACUGAAGUUUUGGACAAAUUUAGCCAACUCAGUUUUGAAGGAUUUUAUUAGGUCCAGUUCACAUGAGACUGGAACGAAGUCAAUUAACCGGGACCAUUUCGUUUUGGUCAUUAGAUUAUAUAUAAUACAUGUAGAUGUUUACAUGAGGUCUCAAGUCAUUCCGCCUGCUGGACCAAGCCGACUCAGACCAGUAUGAAUUCAGACUGGAAUGAAUGUUGACAUUGGAACAAGUGAACAACACAUGCUAACAAAAGUCAUCUAAAAAUUGCCCGGCAAGGGGAAUAAAUUGAAAAUUUUGUGAUUUUCAUACUGGUCUCAUGUAAACAUGUUGACAUGCAAUUUCAAUUUUCCAGGUUGGUUUCAUCCUGGUCUCAUGUAAAAGAGGCCUUACAAAAUGUGAUUCAGUAUCAUGGGAUGAGAUUAGGGGCCUGUUUAUAUGAUCCCGGCCAGUCGGGACGGGAUGCUUACCGAGAUCCUGCUCGUAAAUUAUACAAAUGCUAAAGAGUGUUUAUAUGAUCCCGCCACUUAUCCCACCUAGACUGGAUUUCGGCAACAGAUGCCGGGAUCCUGCCUAAGCGAGAUGAAAAAUUCCCAUAUAAAAACACUUCAUCCCGCCUAGCCGGGAUGAAAAAUUCCCAUAUAAACACUUCAUCCCGGUUAGGCGGAAUGAAUUUUUCCCUUUUGGGCAUGCGUAAAUGCCUUUAUUGCAACAAAAAUAUGACGCCAAGCACCGAAUGGUUUCAUCCCGGCAAUGUAUUUUGUCCAUAUAAACACUAGGCGAGUAUCCUGUCUUGGCAGGAUGAAAACGUCCCGUCCCAUCUAGGCGGG